UGUGAAGGAGUUUUUCAGGUAGUAGUAAAACACUGACGUAAAUUGUGCUAAAACUGAAAAUGUUUUUGUUACCUCUGUCCCACAGUAUGAUAGAUUACGAGGAAGUUCAAGCCAGUACAUUCAGACACAAACAAGGAAAUACUGCAUUUCCUGAGCUGAUCACACUGAACAUGAUUUUCUCUUCCUGUAUGCUAGUCUAGCCCCACUGACUUCAGAAGAAUGGCUCUUGAUCUGUUCUGGUAUUGCCAAACGAUAAUGCAAGGGCCCUGUCUGUUUACGUGCAUUCUGUCUUGCCAGGGACAGCUAUUUGUGGCCUUCCUCAUUGUACUCUGCUUGCUAGAUAUGGGGGAAGCUGAAGAAGAGGCUGAAAAGCAGUGCCUUUUGGUAAAAGGAUGCUGUCAGCAUGGUCAAUAACUGUAGUGAAAACCCAAACUCAUGUGGACUGCUAGCAACAAACACAAACUUUUCUCUUUUCAGAUAAAUACCCCUGGGGUUAAAAGGCCUCCUUGACUUACAAUAUGCAUUCUUUCUAUUUUUCUGUGUCUGUUGUGGUAAAAUAGUAUUGCUUCUUAUUUUGUUGUGAUAAGACUUGAGGGCUAACUGAUCAAGAGACUAUAUUUCAGAUAUAGUAUUCUACUGUAUUCAGAUAAAUUAUUUUCCUUAAUACUCAGAUAUAUUGUCUGGAGAAAAAAGGACUACUUGUAAAACAUAAAAAUGCAAGCCAAACAAUUUCUUCCUCCAUUAACUUGAGAGGUGGCUGUCUAUCCCCAGGUUUUCUUAUUUAAUGUAAUACUGAUUUAUUGCUCUAAGAAAUGUUCAUAUUCUGACAGUCCUCCCCUAUGGAUCACCAUAAUGCACACUGGAAAGUCUGCUCAAGUCUUGUGCUGCAUUCAGUGUUGUCCUUUUAUAGCAGAAAUAGCAAGCCCUUUUUGUGCAUUGGAGAAGCUCAUAUUUUAUGAUAGUUUAGGGUAACAUGGAAUGAAGGUGGCCUAGCUAUAAAAAUAUUCUGUUUAUCAGCUACAAGGUAGUCUAUGAUACAGUGUGUUGCAUUGUCAGCAAUGCCACUGCUUGCAGCACAGAGCUGACUGUGCCUACACAUUUUAAGAACAAUUUUAAAUACCUAUCAGAAAACGAAUAUGUAAUUUUUACCUUAACACCAUCAUAAUCCAGCAUAAACCAAUAAUUUUAAAAUAUUUUUAUAUUUUUUCUUUUGAAACAUCUCUGAAAUGCUAACUGGAUGUUUAUCUACUGAACUGAAUAGGAAAGGCUACAGGUACAGGCUGAGAAUGUCAGUGAAAAGUUGGACUUGCUUAUAAUGGAUGACCCAAAAAUGAUAUGCAAGUUUCCAAAAAUCUCUGUGUCUGGUUUACUUGGAGGAAGAGCUCUGCAUAUGCUACUGAGCAGAUGAAGCAGC
This 1414-nucleotide long non-coding RNA is filed under the name Numida meleagris (helmeted guineafowl). RNAcentral describes it as "lncRNA (ENSNMEG00000002253.1)". Lineage: Eukaryota; Metazoa; Chordata; Aves; Galliformes; Numididae. The record is from RNAcentral.